This 373-nucleotide ribosomal RNA is filed under the name uncultured organism. RNAcentral describes it as "bacterial SSU rRNA". It matches the Rfam family "Bacterial small subunit ribosomal RNA", at positions 526 to 896 of the family's 1533-position model. The record is from RNAcentral.
CGUAGGUGGCAAGCGAUACUCGGAAUCACUAGGCGUAAAGCGCAGGUAGGCGGUUGGAUAAGUUUUUUGUGAAAGCUCCCGGCUUAACUGGGAGAGGCCAAGAAAUACUGUCUGACUUGAGUGUGGUAGGGGAAACUGGAAUUCCUGGUGUAGCGGUGAAAUGCGUAGAUAUCAGGAGGAAUACCUAUGGCGAAAGCAAGUUUCUGGGCCAUCACUGACGCUGAGCUGCGAAAGCUAGGGGGAGCAAACAGGAUUAGAUACCCUGGUAGUCCUAGCCCUAAACGAUGUUCAUUAGAUGUGGGAGGUAUCGACCCCUUCCGCGUCGGCGCUAACGCAUUAAAUGAACCGCCUGGGGAGUACGGCCGCAAGGUUG